Molecule: ribosomal RNA, 492 nt
Filed under: uncultured bacterium
Lineage: Bacteria
Description: partial 16S ribosomal RNA
Rfam family: Bacterial small subunit ribosomal RNA
Source: RNAcentral
GAUGAACGCUAGCUACAGGCUUAACACAUGCAAGUCGAGGGGAAACGCCAUCGAAAGCUUGCUUUUGAUGGGCGUCGACCGGCGCACGGGUGAGUAACGCGUAUCCAACCUGCCCAUCACUUGGGGAUAACCUUGCGAAAGUAAGACUAAUACCCAAUGAUAUCUCUAGAAGACAUCUGAAAGAGAUUAAAGAUGUAUCGGUGAUGGAUGGGGAUGCGUCUGAUUAGCUUGUUGGCGGGGUAACGGCCCACCAAGGCAACGAUCAGUAGGGGUUCUGAGAGGAAGGUCCCCCACAUUGGAACUGAGACACGGUCCAAACUCCUACGGGAGGCAGCAGUGAGGAAUAUUGGUCAAUGGGCGAGAGCCUGAACCAGCCAAGUAGCGUGCAGGAAGACGGCCCUAUGGGUUGUAAACUGCUUUUAUAAGGGAAUAAAGUGAGAGUCGUGACUCUUUUUGUAUGUACCUUAUGAAUAAGGACCGGCUAAUUCCGUG